Molecule: long non-coding RNA, 844 nt
Organism: Heterocephalus glaber (naked mole-rat)
Lineage: Eukaryota; Metazoa; Chordata; Mammalia; Rodentia; Bathyergidae
Source: Ensembl
CUUCUCUUCCUGUUAGUCACACUGGGAGGAGGGCUCAGCACAGUGGGCCGGUCAUAAAUUACCAUGUGGGUCAGAGCAGCCCAAGUGCAAUACCAAGGGAAACAUAAAUCUUGGCUCGAGUCCUGUGAACAAUUCGUGAGAAAUCCGAAUGUAUUGAAAAAUCACAUGUUUACAGAGGGAUUGGAGACUAAGCCUAUCUUUAAAUUCAGCAGGCCCAGAAUUAAUCUUGUCUUUUAUCUAAACCAGUGUGAGAACCCCAGAAUUAGAUGACUAGUCUGAAGAAAACUCGACUUUCUGACUAGAAAUUGCCCACAAAUUCAAACACAGUUGUGUGUACGAUUUCUGGAGGUUUGUGGCUACUCUGAGGUUCAUCCACAAUUCUCAGGGCAAGCUUGGCCUUCCACAUCAGUAGGGAUUCUCUGUUCAUUCUUCUUGGAAAAUAUAGCAUUGAGGAUUUAAAUACACAGUCCAUUUUUCCUUAAUGAGGACCCUAGUACAUCUAUGUGACUUGAUGACAUUGGAUGGCUGAUUGCACCAGAAUUCUGGAGCUGAAGGGGGCCUCUGACAGAGGGAAUAACACAGUCCCUGGGUCGAAGAUGUGUGAGAGAGGAGGCUGGGAGAUGGCAUGAUUGCAAAUUCAAUAUCAGCUACUUCACAAUUUGCUCAAGACCUAUUGCUGGGAAUCACUACCUGAUACAUUGAGAAAAGCCUACAAACUCCUUAUUCCCCACUUAGCGUCUGAAUGUUUUAAAAUAAAUUAAAAGUAUAGAACUGGUUUGAAUUUUUCCCCUUUCUGUAGUAAGAGAAAUCUUGUGGAAAAGUUGAUUACUUCAGAGUGCAGCAG